Molecule: transfer RNA, 70 nt
Filed under: Arborophila mandellii (Chestnut-breasted partridge)
Lineage: Eukaryota; Metazoa; Chordata; Aves; Galliformes; Phasianidae
Description: tRNA-Pro
Rfam family: tRNA
About the family: Transfer RNA (tRNA) molecules are approximately 80 nucleotides in length. Their secondary structure includes four short double-helical elements and three loops (D, anti-codon, and T loops). Further hydrogen bonds mediate the characteristic L-shaped molecular structure. tRNAs have two regions of fundamental functional importance: the anti-codon, which is responsible for specific mRNA codon recognition, and the 3' end, to which the tRNAs corresponding amino acid is attached (by aminoacyl-tRNA synthetases). tRNAs cope with the degeneracy of the genetic code in two manners: having more than one tRNA (with a specific anti-codon) for a particular amino acid; and 'wobble' base-pairing, i.e. permitting non-standard base-pairing at the 3rd anti-codon position.
Source: RNAcentral
CAGAAGGUAGUUUAUUUUAAAAUAUCAGCUUUGGGAGCUGGAGAUAAAGGUUUAAGUCCUUUCUUUCUGA